Molecule: ribosomal RNA, 489 nt
Filed under: uncultured soil bacterium
Lineage: Bacteria
Description: bacterial SSU rRNA
Rfam family: Bacterial small subunit ribosomal RNA
Source: RNAcentral
AGAUUGAACGCUGGCGGAAUGCUUUACACAUGCAAGUCGAACGGCAGCACGGGGGCAACCCUGGUGGCGAGUGGCGAACGGGUGAGUAAUGUAUCGGAACGUGCCCAGUCGUGGGGGAUAACUAUCCGAAAGGAUAGCUAAUACCGCAUACGUCCUGAGGGAGAAAGCGGGGGACCUGCAAAGGCCUCGCGCGAUUGGAGCGGCCGAUAUCGGAUUAGCUAGUUGGUGGGGUAAAGGCUCACCAAGGCGACGAUCCGUAGCGGGUCUGAGAGGACGACCCGCCACACUGGAACUGAGACACGGUCCAGACUCCUACGGGAGGCAGCAGUGGGGAAUUUGGACAAGUGGGGCAACCCUGAUCCAGCCAUUCCGCGUGAGUGAAGAAGGCCUUCGGUGUAAGCUCUUCAGCGGAACGAACGGUCGAGUUACCUAAGUAAGGUCGACUAAUGACGGUACCUGACAGAAGAAGACGACCGUACUAACUACCGU